RNAcentral lists this ribosomal RNA (744 nucleotides) under uncultured Glomus. RNAcentral's name for it is "eukaryotic LSU rRNA". It matches the Rfam family "Eukaryotic large subunit ribosomal RNA", at positions 38 to 633 of the family's 3401-position model. Lineage: Eukaryota; Fungi; Glomeromycota; Glomeromycetes; Glomerales; Glomeraceae. The record is from RNAcentral.
CGAUAUCAAUAAGCGGAGGAAAAGAAAAUAACAAUGAUUCCCCUAGUAACUGCGAGUGAAGAGGGACAAGCUCAAAUUUUAAAUCUGUCGGGUUCUACCUGACCGAGUUGUAAUUUGAAGAGGCGUUUUCUGUGUUUCUGAUCAGUCCAAGUCCUUUGGGAUAAGGCAUCACGGAGGGUGAGAAUCCCGUUCGGUUGAUCAGAUUCGCUUUACGAUACGCUUUCAAAGAGUCAAGUUGUUUGGGAUUGCAGCUUAAAAUGGGAGGUAAAUUUCUCCUAAGGCUAAAUAACGGCGAGAGACCGAUAGCGAACAAGUACCGUGAGGGAAAGAUGAAAAGAACUUUGAAAAGAGAGUUAAACAGUACGUGAAAUUGUUGAAAGGGAAACGAUUGAAGCCAGUCGUACCUGCGGGUAAUCAGCCUUUUGGGCAUGAUUCUGGGAGUGUGAGGAGUUAAACGCCUUCAUGCCUGCAUAUUCGUGUACUUUGGGUGUACUUGCCUGUGUGGUUAGUUAACAUCAAUUUUGAUUAUCAUAAAAUGGCUGGAGGAAUGUAGCUUCGAUUUCGAUUGAAGUGUUAUAGCCUUCGGCAGAUGUGAUGAUCGGGAUUGAGGAUUGCAACGGAUACCCUUCGGGGCUACCUGUCUGAUCUCUGAUCGUUGCUCUGGUGCCGAAAGCGUGCUUACGGUUAUCAAAGUCGAUGGUCAAUAGGUUAGAAUGGGUUAAAUUCGUUAAGGAUGUUGACGUA